GCCGAUGUAGCUCAGUUGGUAGAGCAACUGAUUCGUAAUCAGUAGGUCGCCCGUUCGAUUCGGGCCAUCGGCACCA
Molecule: transfer RNA, 76 nt
Filed under: Coxiella sp. RIFCSPHIGHO2_12_FULL_42_15
Lineage: Bacteria; Pseudomonadati; Pseudomonadota; Gammaproteobacteria; Legionellales; Coxiellaceae
Description: tRNA-Thr
Rfam family: tRNA
About the family: Transfer RNA (tRNA) molecules are approximately 80 nucleotides in length.
Source: RNAcentral